This 468-nucleotide ribosomal RNA is filed under the name uncultured bacterium. RNAcentral's name for it is "partial 16S ribosomal RNA". It matches the Rfam family "Bacterial small subunit ribosomal RNA", at positions 28 to 507 of the family's 1533-position model. The record is from RNAcentral.
GACGAACGCUGGCGGCGUGCUUAACACAUGCAAGUCGAACGGAAAGGCCCUGCUUUUGUGGGGUGCUCGAGUGGCGAACGGGUGAGUAACACGUGAGUAACCUGCCCUUGACUUUGGGAUAACUUCAGGAAACUGGGGCUAAUACGGGAUAGGAGCUCCUGCUGCAUGGUGGGGGUUGGAAAGUUUCGGCGGUUGGGGAUGGACUCGCGGCUUAUCAGCUUGUUGGUGGGGGAGUGGCUUACCAAGGCUUUGACGGGUAGCCGGCCUGAGAGGGUGACCGGCCACAUUGGGACUGCGAUACGGCCCAGACUCCUACGGGAGGCAGCAGUGGGGAAUAUUGCACAAUGGGCGGAAGCCUGAUGCAGCAACGCCGCGUGCGGGAUGACGGCCUUCGGGUUGUAAACCGCUUUCGCCUGUGACGAAGCGUGAGUGACGGUAAUGGGUAAAGAAGCACCGGCUAACUACGUG